RNAcentral lists this ribosomal RNA (484 nucleotides) under uncultured bacterium. RNAcentral's name for it is "partial 16S ribosomal RNA". It matches the Rfam family "Bacterial small subunit ribosomal RNA", at positions 30 to 507 of the family's 1533-position model. The record is from RNAcentral.
AUUGAACGCUGGCGGCAGGCCUAACACAUGCAAGUCGAGCGGUAGAGAGAAGCUUGCUUCUCUUGAGAGCGGCGGACGGGUGAGUAAUGCCUAGGAAUCUGCCUGGUAGUGGGGGAUAACGUUCGGAAACGGACGCUAAUACCGCAUACGUCCUACGGGAGAAAGCAGGGGACCUUCGGGCCUUGCGCUAUCAGAUGAGCCUAGGUCGGAUUAGCUAGUUGGUGGGGUAAUGGCUCACCAAGGCGACGAUCCGUAACUGGUCUGAGAGGAUGAUCAGUCACACUGGAACUGAGACACGGUCCAGACUCCUACGGGAGGCAGCAGUGGGGAGUAUUGGACAAUGGGCGAAAGCCUGAUCCAGCCAUGCCGCGUGUGUGAAGAAGGUCUUCGGAUUGUAAAGCACUUUAAGUUGGGAGGAAGGGCAGUAAAUUAAUACUUUGCUGUUUUGACGUUACCGACAGAAUAAGCACCGGCUAACUCUGUG